Molecule: ribosomal RNA, 440 nt
Filed under: uncultured bacterium
Lineage: Bacteria
Description: partial 16S ribosomal RNA
Rfam family: Bacterial small subunit ribosomal RNA
Source: RNAcentral
CCUACGGGAGGCAGCAGUGGGGAAUAUUGCACAAUGGGGGAAACCCUGAUGCAGCGACGCCGCGUGAGUGAAGAAGGAUUUCGGUAUGUAAAGCUCUGUCAGCAGGGAAGAAAAUGACGGUACCUGAACAAGAAGCCCCGGCUAACUACGUGCCAGCAGGCGCGGUAAUACGUAGGGGGCAAGCGUUAGCCGGAUUUACUGGGUGUAAAGGGAACGUAGACGGAAGGGACAGUCUGGAGUGAAAGGCGGGGGCUCAACCCCCGGACUGCUCUGGAUAGUGACAGGCUGGAGUGCAGGAGAGGGAAGUGGAAUUCCUAGUGUAGCGGUGAAAUGCGUAGAUAUUAGGAGGAACACCAGUGGCGAAGGCGGCUUACUGGACUGUAACUGACGUUGAGGUGCGAAAGCGUGGGGAGCAAACAGGAUUAGAUACCCUAGUAGUC